UAACAAUCUAGAGCACCACAGAGUGUUUCCAGGUCGGCACAAAAGCGAACGGGACAGGGCGCCCUGGGCGGCGGCAGCUUGGCCGGCCCGCUGCCUAGCGCGCCCCCGAGGGGCGGUAAUGGAACGUACCUUUGGCUGAAGAAAGAGUGCUCCCGGCCAGCGCGGGGUCGCCUAGGGGGUUCCGCGCUGCCUAAUGCAAAGGAUGGAAAAGUUACAGAAGCAGAGAUGGGUUUCAGCAGCCCAGGCUGGUCUCGAACUCCUGGACUCAAGUGAUUGGCCCUCCUCGGCCUCCCAAAGUCCUGGGAUUACAAGCGUGAGCCACCAUGCUCAGUUGGCGGGGGAUUAUCUGUGAUCCAAUGAAGUUGGACUAGAGAUGUGAAGCCUUAGAAAACGGUGGAUUGAAAAAAGAAUUUUAGUCUCCUCCAGAGAUUAUAUUUUGUGUGUUCAUUGCUCUCAAAAACAUGAAAAUAAAGAGUAUUUUAUAUUGUG
Long non-coding RNA from Homo sapiens (human), 489 nucleotides. Ensembl annotates it as IDH1 antisense RNA 1. Its record names the gene IDH1-AS1. The record is from Ensembl. Lineage: Eukaryota; Metazoa; Chordata; Mammalia; Primates; Hominidae.